UACGGGGGGGGCAAGCGUUGUUCGGAAUUACUGGGCGUAAAGGGCUCGUAGGUGGCCAACUAAGUCAGACGUGAAAUCCCUCAGCUUAACUGGGGAACUGCGUCUGAUACUGGAUGGCUUGAGUUUGGGAGAGGGAUGCGGAAUUCCAGGUGUAGCGGUGAAAUGCGUAGAUAUCUGGAGGAACACCGGUGGCGAAGGCGGCAUCCUGGACCAAUUCUGACACUGAGGAGCGAAAGCCAGGGGAGCAAACGGG
Molecule: ribosomal RNA, 253 nt
Filed under: uncultured bacterium
Lineage: Bacteria
Description: partial 16S ribosomal RNA
Rfam family: Bacterial small subunit ribosomal RNA
Source: RNAcentral